Molecule: unclassified non-coding RNA, 1972 nt
Filed under: Hevea brasiliensis (rubber tree)
Lineage: Eukaryota; Viridiplantae; Streptophyta; Magnoliopsida; Malpighiales; Euphorbiaceae
Source: RNAcentral
CCCUGUGAACAUAAAUAGAUUGUUUCGGUAAAGAACAAAUAGAUACUAAAUGCACAAAUACGGACUAUGAAUAUAUAUAAACGAGUGUAUGCAUAAAGAAAAUAAAUCCAUUCGGUUCACUUUCAUAUCAGCAUUAGCACUGAAAGGAUAAGUAGAUAUUAAAUUAGAAAGUCAUAAACAACCCCAAGAUAAAGUUCUGAUGAAUAUAAAGAUUGAAAAGUUCCAAACCAAGACCCCCAGCAAUGACUGCACAAUGUCAAAUUUUUAACUUAGGGAGACUAAACUAUACCUCAACAAGGCUAUUCACAUAGGGAAUCAUUCUUGGAUCAUAAUCAACUUCAGUUGCCAAUUGUUUGAUAUCAUUCGUCCUCGUGUCGUAGGAAAUGAGUGUACUCCCCAAUCGUAUCACCACAAUUUUACCACCGAUAAACAAUACACUUUUCUGAUCAGUCUGACCAGCAAACACUGAAUCGUUUAAAGUUACAUUUUUCACAGACCAUGCUCUUGUUUUGCUAUGCAUUUGCAUUGUGUUUGUGUAGGGAUUUGACAGCUCUGCUAUUGUUAAUUUUGAACCUUGUAUGGAAGCAGAACACAACUUCCCAUUCACCUUACCCAGAGAACCAGAUGAAUAGGAAUAAAUGAGAGUUGACCGCUCACUCGUCAGAUCAAAAGCAACAACUGUACUCCUUGACUGCCAAUAAACAAUGCCAUCAACAUGAACACCUGUACUAGGAACAAUCUGCCGAUUACCAAAGCAAAUCUCACCAGAAGUUCUCCAAGAUCCUUCAGCAGAUGAAUAAAUAUCAAAUUCAUAUCCAUCUAGAUCAGAUUGAAAUGCACAAAUGAGCUUGUAGUCAGCCACAAAGUUCAGUAAUGAAGGCUCAAAGACGAGCACAAGGGCGGGGUCACAACCAUGGUUAGCAUCAGGUUUAGGAAGUUUCUUCCACUGCUGGAUAACAGGAUUGCAGAUGUAAUAGGCUUUGUAUCCAGUCCGACCCUGGCAGCAGAGAAGUCCAUUGGAAGAACACCUGAUGUCAACUGGUUCAGGCAAAAACUUCAAAGAUGGGUCUGGAACCCCAUAUGCAAUUGGGUCAAGGGAAAUAAAUGAUGGCUGGGAUGAAUGAGAUUGACAAAAGAAGCCAGACAAAUCAUGGAAAGAAUUCGACUGGUUGUGAGCAAAGAAAGGAGUUGAGAUAUAAAGCUUCCACUCCCGACAAACACUAGUGCAUCGACGGAGAGAUUUAGCCGGAAGGUAACGAAGAGUAUUCUCCCUAAUAAUAUCUUUGAGGUCCAUGUAAAUCUUGUUAUUUCUGUUUGCAAAGAACGUGGUAGGUUUCUUUCCUCGAUCCAUUUAACUUCCAAAUAAAAUUUGAAACCAGUUGCUAACUGCACCCAAACCUCAUUUAUCAGAACCACUAAUUACAAAUAUGCAAAUGAUAAACCCCUAACAUGCAUGUGCUUGCGAGAACAGAGAGCACGGAUUAUCUAGUCCAUCCGACAAGUUAUGUUGAUAGAAAACGUAAAAUGUGAUUUAAAAUAGGAAAUAUAAUUUGGUUCUUCAUGCCUUUUCAAAGCGUUGCACCUUAUAGGAACUUGUCCAUAAAAAUCUCCUAUUUUCACAAAAAUUUAGUAGGAUUAGCAACAUUAACUGCAAAAACUUUAUAACACUUUUCAAUUAAGUCCCUAAUAGUUUAUCUUUUAAUCAAAUCCUACUAUCUUUUUUUCUAAAACUGCUAGCCCUAAAUUCAUAAGUGAAGUUUCUUUGGUAACUAGUUUCAAGCGAAUGCCACGUGGUACUUUUUCCAAAUCAGCCUUCCACACUGAAUCUAAGAAAAAUAAAUGAACAGAACAAAAUAAGCAUCAACAAUUUCAAAUUUUCAACUAAAUUUCUUAUUCCAUACCCUCAAAAGUAGAGAAGCAAGCCUUGUAUAUAAUUAUAUAUAGAUAAUAUCGUAACCUUCAAGAAUUAAAA